RNAcentral lists this long non-coding RNA (128 nucleotides) under Fukomys damarensis (Damara mole-rat). RNAcentral describes it as "lncRNA (ENSFDAG00000028692.1)". Lineage: Eukaryota; Metazoa; Chordata; Mammalia; Rodentia; Bathyergidae. The record is from RNAcentral.
AACUGUGGUUGGAAUUGUAGAAGAAGAGUGAAGAUGGGCUCUGUACGAUCAGCCACAUGUAGGCUCUCAAGCCAGGUCUGUGGAGUGCCCACAGCAGAUGUCUACAGGUGUGAUUUAAGGUAUACUUU